AAAUAUCGUGCCCACCAAGGCAUAGGCCGGCUAUCAAUAGAACAGGAGAUUUUUGUCAUUAUUAUCACAUUAUUAUAUUAUCACAUUCUUAUAUUAUCACAUUA
Clupea harengus (Atlantic herring) is the source of this 104-nucleotide long non-coding RNA. RefSeq lists it as uncharacterized. Lineage: Eukaryota; Metazoa; Chordata; Actinopteri; Clupeiformes; Clupeidae. The record is from RefSeq and is a predicted model, not a curated record. The transcript is spliced from 3 exons.